Long non-coding RNA from Salarias fasciatus (jewelled blenny), 1060 nucleotides. RefSeq lists it as uncharacterized. The record is from RefSeq and is a predicted model, not a curated record. The transcript is spliced from 2 exons. NCBI's taxonomy places the organism in Eukaryota, Metazoa, Chordata, Actinopteri, Blenniiformes, Blenniidae.
UUGUGUUCACUUCAGCUCCGGUGUGAGUCCACGCCGUGAAUCCUCUCACACUCCGGACCUACUAACAUGUACUGAUGAUGACGAUGAUGAUGUUGAUGUUGAUGUUAUUGGAGGCUUUAGUCAUGUGACCUGACCGUCCCACUCACUUCCUGCACAACGGGAACAAUGUUCUACUCUGAGUGUUUCUGAGUCUGACGUCCGACCACCAUCACUUACUCAUUUCAAACCCGAAGAAGAUAAAUAGCCUUCUAACAUCCCAUCGAUCGGUGAGUUAGAAUCAGAUUUGAGAUCUGACGGAACCUCAUUCCACCCAAAACUUUCAAUAACUCCAUCUGGUUAUAUGUUUGUAACAAUUCACCAACUCUCUCUACCACCUUAGAGCCAGCUGGAUGUUCUUGUGACGAUUAGAUCAGUAAGGUUCAUGUAUUCAAUCUAAAUAUUUUUGGUGUUUCAUAAUCUGGAUGUUAGAGGAGGAAGAUGCUCUAUAAUCUUUCCCUUUAAGGCCUUGUGGUUUUGUGAGGACUGGAGACUCAGAAACACUCCAAGCUUUUCUUUUCUUCUAGACAUUUUGGCUUCAGUUUGAUUUGUUUUUUAAGGUUAUCUUUAAGAAUCUUUAAGCAUUUUUCUCACUGACACAAAUCACUUCCUGUACCGAGGUCACAGGCUGACUGACAAAGUGAAGUCAAAGCAUCUGCAGCGCCCUCUGCUGGCUGAAGCAGAGACUGCGCCUCCUGGGCAGAUUUCAGUGCGUUUCUGAUGUUUUGGCUUCACUUCCGGUUCUCCACGGUUUGUAAAAAGUAGCGUGUGGUUUGUUUGCCUUUGACUUUCUUAGUUCAAGUGUUUGAUUCCAGGUGACGUCGUUCAACUGUGUGUGUGUGAGUGUGUGUUUGUGUGUGUGUGUGUGUGUGUGUGUGUGUGUGUGUCCUGCAUGUACAGCAAAGGGGUUGAUUUCCCAGAAUGCCGCUCCCGUCUCCUGGAAUCAGUGACGGCGUUGAGCAGGAUCCCUGUGGCUCCCUCUAGCGGACAGAAGGAGAACUGCAGCUGGUUUCAUGAGGAAACG